AGUGAACGCUGGCGGCAGGCCUAAUACAUGCAAGUCGAACGGCAGCACAGCAGAGCUUGCUCUGUGGGUGGCGAGUGGCGGACGGGUGAGGAAUACAUGGGAAUCUGCCCAGUCGUGGGGGAUAACGUAUGGAAACGUACGCUAAUACCGCAUGCGCCCUACGGGGGAAAGCCGGGGACCGAAAGGCCUGGCGCGAUUGGAUGAGCCCAUGUUCGAUUAGCUAGUUGGCGGGGUAAAGGCCCACCAAGGCGACGAUCGAUAGCUGGUCUGAGAGGAUGAUCAGCCACACUGGAACUGAGACACGGUCCAGACUCCUACGGGAGGCAGCAGUAGGGAAUAUUGGACAAUGGGGGCAACCCUGAUCCAGCCAUGCCGCGUGAGUGAAGAAGGCCCUCGGGUUGUAAAGCUCUUUUGUCCGGAAAGAAAAGCAAUCGGUUAAUACCCGGUUGUUCUGACGGUACCGGAAGAAUAAGCACCGGCUAACUACGUGCCAGCAG
This 497-nucleotide ribosomal RNA is filed under the name uncultured bacterium. Its description in RNAcentral is "bacterial SSU rRNA". It matches the Rfam family "Bacterial small subunit ribosomal RNA", at positions 29 to 514 of the family's 1533-position model. The record is from RNAcentral.